RNAcentral lists this ribosomal RNA (305 nucleotides) under uncultured bacterium. RNAcentral describes it as "bacterial SSU rRNA". It matches the Rfam family "Bacterial small subunit ribosomal RNA", at positions 333 to 635 of the family's 1533-position model. The record is from RNAcentral.
ACCACCCUACGGGACGCAGCAGUGAGGAAUAUUGGUCAAUGGGCGGGAGCCUGAACCAGCCAAGUCGCGUGAGGGAAGACGGUCCUACGGAUUGUAAACCUCUUUUGCCGGGGAGCAACGGGGUCCUUGCGAGGGCCCGAUGAGAGUACCCGGGGAAAAAGCAUCGGCUAACUCCGUGCCAGCAGCCGCGGUAAUACGGAGGAUGCGAGCGUUAUCCGGAUUUAUUGGGUUUAAAGGGUGCGUAGGCGGGCUGUUAAGUCAGCGGUCAAAUGGCGGGACUCAACCCCGGCCGGCCGUUGAAACGG